Molecule: ribosomal RNA, 460 nt
Filed under: uncultured bacterium
Lineage: Bacteria
Description: partial 16S ribosomal RNA
Rfam family: Bacterial small subunit ribosomal RNA
Source: RNAcentral
CCUACGGGAGGCAGCAGUGAGGAAUAUUGGUCAAUGGCCGGAAGGCUGAACCAGCCAUGCCGCGUGAAGGUCAGUGCCCUAUGGGCGUUAAACUUCUUUUGUGCGGGAGCAAUAAUGGUCACGUGUGGCCAGACGAGAGUACCGUACGAAUAAGCAUCGGCUAACUCCGUGUCAGCAGCCGCGGUAGUCCGGGGGAUGCAAGCGUUAUCCGGAUUUAUUGGGUUUAAAGGGUGCGUAGGCUGUGAGGUAAGUCAGCGGGGAAAUGCCCCCGCUCAACGGGGUGAAGUGCCAUUGAUACUGGCUUGCUGGAAUGCGGAAGCCGUAGGAGGAAUGUGUGGUGUAGCGGUGAAAUGCAUAGAUAUCGCACAGAACACCGAUUGCGAAGGCAUCUCGCGAAUCCGCGAUUGACGCUGAUGCACGAAAGCGUGGGUAUCAAACAGGAUUAGAUACCCGGGUAGUC